Regulatory RNA element from Bacillus sp. FJAT-27916, 110 nucleotides. It matches the Rfam family "SAM riboswitch aptamer (S box leader)". From Rfam's summary of the family: The SAM riboswitch is found upstream of a number of genes which code for proteins involved in methionine or cysteine biosynthesis in Gram-positive bacteria. The SAM riboswitch acts at the level of transcription termination control. The predicted structure consists of a complex stem-loop region followed by a single stem loop terminator region. Lineage: Bacteria; Bacillati; Bacillota; Bacilli; Caryophanales; Bacillaceae. The record is from Rfam.
AACUUAUCGAGAGUGGCGGAGGGACUGGCCCGUUGAAGCCCGGCAACCGGUAUCACUAAAUGUGAUGCACGGUGCUAAAUCCUGCGGAAUCAUAUUCCGGGAGAUAAGGC